Ursus americanus (American black bear) is the source of this 327-nucleotide unclassified non-coding RNA. Its record names the gene 7SK. It matches the Rfam family "7SK RNA". From Rfam's summary of the family: 7SK was discovered as an abundant small nuclear RNA in the mid-70s but a possible function has only recently been suggested. Two independent studies have found that 7SK RNA binds the CDK9/cyclin T complex (known as elongation factor P-TEFb). NCBI's taxonomy places the organism in Eukaryota, Metazoa, Chordata, Mammalia, Carnivora, Ursidae. The record is from Ensembl.
GGAUGUGAGGGCAGUCUGGCUGCAACAUCUGUCACCCCAUUGAUAGCUGGGGUUGAUUCAGCUAAUCUAACUGGCUAGGCAGGUGUCUCACUCCUCCCUCACCACUCCAUGUGCUUUCCUCCUGAAGCUGCAUGCUAGGAAGAGGAUGAUUUCCUCCAUAGAGGAGGACCAUUCUUCAGUCAAGGACAUAGGAGUAGCUGCACUCCCCUGCUAGAACCUCCAAACAAGCUCUCGUGGUCCAUUUGUAGGAGAACGUAGGGUAGUCAAGCUCCCAGGACUCCAACUACAUUCAAAUGAGGUGCUGCAUGUGGCAGUCUACCUUUCUUU